Molecule: ribosomal RNA, 2904 nt
Filed under: Escherichia coli
Lineage: Bacteria; Pseudomonadati; Pseudomonadota; Gammaproteobacteria; Enterobacterales; Enterobacteriaceae
Description: 23S ribosomal RNA
Rfam family: Bacterial large subunit ribosomal RNA
Source: RNAcentral
GGUUAAGCGACUAAGCGUACACGGUGGAUGCCCUGGCAGUCAGAGGCGAUGAAGGACGUGCUAAUCUGCGAUAAGCGUCGGUAAGGUGAUAUGAACCGUUAUAACCGGCGAUUUCCGAAUGGGGAAACCCAGUGUGUUUCGACACACUAUCAUUAACUGAAUCCAUAGGUUAAUGAGGCGAACCGGGGGAACUGAAACAUCUAAGUACCCCGAGGAAAAGAAAUCAACCGAGAUUCCCCCAGUAGCGGCGAGCGAACGGGGAGCAGCCCAGAGCCUGAAUCAGUGUGUGUGUUAGUGGAAGCGUCUGGAAAGGCGCGCGAUACAGGGUGACAGCCCCGUACACAAAAAUGCACAUGCUGUGAGCUCGAUGAGUAGGGCGGGACACGUGGUAUCCUGUCUGAAUAUGGGGGGACCAUCCUCCAAGGCUAAAUACUCCUGACUGACCGAUAGUGAACCAGUACCGUGAGGGAAAGGCGAAAAGAACCCCGGCGAGGGGAGUGAAAAAGAACCUGAAACCGUGUACGUACAAGCAGUGGGAGCACGCUUAGGCGUGUGACUGCGUACCUUUUGUAUAAUGGGUCAGCGACUUAUAUUCUGUAGCAAGGUUAACCGAAUAGGGGAGCCGAAGGGAAACCGAGUCUUAACUGGGCGUUAAGUUGCAGGGUAUAGACCCGAAACCCGGUGAUCUAGCCAUGGGCAGGUUGAAGGUUGGGUAACACUAACUGGAGGACCGAACCGACUAAUGUUGAAAAAUUAGCGGAUGACUUGUGGCUGGGGGUGAAAGGCCAAUCAAACCGGGAGAUAGCUGGUUCUCCCCGAAAGCUAUUUAGGUAGCGCCUCGUGAAUUCAUCUCCGGGGGUAGAGCACUGUUUCGGCAAGGGGGUCAUCCCGACUUACCAACCCGAUGCAAACUGCGAAUACCGGAGAAUGUUAUCACGGGAGACACACGGCGGGUGCUAACGUCCGUCGUGAAGAGGGAAACAACCCAGACCGCCAGCUAAGGUCCCAAAGUCAUGGUUAAGUGGGAAACGAUGUGGGAAGGCCCAGACAGCCAGGAUGUUGGCUUAGAAGCAGCCAUCAUUUAAAGAAAGCGUAAUAGCUCACUGGUCGAGUCGGCCUGCGCGGAAGAUGUAACGGGGCUAAACCAUGCACCGAAGCUGCGGCAGCGACGCUGAUGCGUUGUUGGGUAGGGGAGCGUUCUGUAAGCCUGUGAAGGUGUGCUGUGAGGCAUGCUGGAGGUAUCAGAAGUGCGAAUGCUGACAUAAGUAACGAUAAAGCGGGUGAAAAGCCCGCUCGCCGGAAGACCAAGGGUUCCUGUCCAACGUUAAUCGGGGCAGGGUGAGUCGACCCCUAAGGCGAGGCCGAAAGGCGUAGUCGAUGGGAAACAGGUUAAUAUUCCUGUACUUGGUGUUACUGCGAAGGGGGGACGGAGAAGGCUAUGUUGGCCGGGCGACGGUUGUCCCGGUUUAAGCGUGUAGGCUGGUUUUCCAGGCAAAUCCGGAAAAUCAAGGCUGAGGCGUGAUGACGAGGCACUACGGUGCUGAAGCAACAAAUGCCCUGCUUCCAGGAAAAGCCUCUAAGCAUCAGGUAACAUCAAAUCGUACCCCAAACCGACACAGGUGGUCAGGUAGAGAAUACCAAGGCGCUUGAGAGAACUCGGGUGAAGGAACUAGGCAAAAUGGUGCCGUAACUUCGGGAGAAGGCACGCUGAUAUGUAGGUGAAGUCCCUCGCGGAUGGAGCUGAAAUCAGUCGAAGAUACCAGCUGGCUGCAACUGUUUAUUAAAAACACAGCACUGUGCAAACACGAAAGUGGACGUAUACGGUGUGACGCCUGCCCGGUGCCGGAAGGUUAAUUGAUGGGGUCAGCGCAAGCGAAGCUCUUGAUCGAAGCCCCGGUAAACGGCGGCCGUAACUAUAACGGUCCUAAGGUAGCGAAAUUCCUUGUCGGGUAAGUUCCGACCUGCACGAAUGGCGUAAUGAUGGCCAGGCUGUCUCCACCCGAGACUCAGUGAAAUUGAACUCGCUGUGAAGAUGCAGUGUACCCGCGGCAAGACGGAAAGACCCCGUGAACCUUUACUAUAGCUUGACACUGAACAUUGAGCCUUGAUGUGUAGGAUAGGUGGGAGGCUUUGAAGUGUGGACGCCAGUCUGCAUGGAGCCGACCUUGAAAUACCACCCUUUAAUGUUUGAUGUUCUAACGUUGACCCGUAAUCCGGGUUGCGGACAGUGUCUGGUGGGUAGUUUGACUGGGGCGGUCUCCUCCUAAAGAGUAACGGAGGAGCACGAAGGUUGGCUAAUCCUGGUCGGACAUCAGGAGGUUAGUGCAAUGGCAUAAGCCAGCUUGACUGCGAGCGUGACGGCGCGAGCAGGUGCGAAAGCAGGUCAUAGUGAUCCGGUGGUUCUGAAUGGAAGGGCCAUCGCUCAACGGAUAAAAGGUACUCCGGGGAUAACAGGCUGAUACCGCCCAAGAGUUCAUAUCGACGGCGGUGUUUGGCACCUCGAUGUCGGCUCAUCACAUCCUGGGGCUGAAGUAGGUCCCAAGGGUAUGGCUGUUCGCCAUUUAAAGUGGUACGCGAGCUGGGUUUAGAACGUCGUGAGACAGUUCGGUCCCUAUCUGCCGUGGGCGCUGGAGAACUGAGGGGGGCUGCUCCAAGUACGAGAGGACCGGAGUGGACGCAUCACUGGUGUUCGGGUUGUCAUGCCAAUGGCACUGCCCGGUAGCUAAAUGCGGAAGAGAUAAGUGCUGAAAGCAUCUAAGCACGAAACUUGCCCCGAGAUGAGUUCUCCCUGACUCCUUGAGAGUCCUGAAGGAACGUUGAAGACGACGACGUUGAUAGGCCGGGUGUGUAAGCGCAGCGAUGCGUUGAGCUAACCGGUACUAAUGAACCGUGAGGCUUAACCUU